AGAGUUUGAUCCUGGCUCAGAUUGAACGCUGGCGGCGUGCUUAACACAUGCAAGUCGAACGUGAAAGUCCUUCGGGGCGAGUAAAGUGGCGCACGGGUGAGUAACGCGUGGAUAAUCUACCCUUAAGAUGGGGAUAACGGCUGGAAACGGUCGCUAAUACCGAAUACGCUCCCGAUUUUAUCAUUGGGGGGAAAGAUGGCCUCUGCUUGCAAGCUAUCGCUUAAGGAUGAGUCCGCGUCCCAUUAGCUAGUUGGCGGGGUAACGGCCCACCAAGGCAACGAUGGGUAGCCGGUCUGAGAGGAUGACCGGCCACACUGGAACUGGAACACGGUCCAGACUCCUACGGGAGGCAGCAGUGGGGAAUAUUGCGCAAUGGGCGAAAGCCUGACGCAGCGACGCCGCGUGAGGGAUGAAGGUUCUCGGAUCGUAAACCUCUGUCAGGGGGGAAGAAACCCCCUCGUGUGAAUAAUGCGAGGGCUUGACGGUACCCCCAAAGGAAGCACCGGCUAACUCCGUGCCAGCAGCCGCGGUAAUACGGAGGGUGCAAGCGUUAAUCGGAAUCACUGGGCGUAAAGCGCACGUAGGCGGCUUGGUAAGUCAGGGGUGAAAUCCCACAGCCCAACUGUGGAACUGCCUUUGAUACUGCCAGGCUUGAGUACCGGAGAGGGUGGCGGAAUUCCAGGUGUAGGAGUGAAAUCCGUAGAUAUCUGGAGGAACACCGGUGGCGAAGGCGGCCACCUGGACGGUAACUGACGCUGAGGUGCGAAAGCGUGGGUAGCAAACAGGAUUAGAUACCCUGGUAGUCCACGCUGUAAACGAUGGGUGCUGGGGUGCUGGGGAUGUAUGUCUCGGUGCCGUACUAACGCGAUAAGCACCCCGCCUGGGGAGUACGGUCGCAAGGCUGAAACUCAAAGAAUUGACGGGGGCCCGCACAAGCGGUGAGUAUGUGGUUUAUUCGAUGCAACGCGAGAACCUUACCC
RNAcentral lists this ribosomal RNA (980 nucleotides) under uncultured bacterium. RNAcentral describes it as "bacterial SSU rRNA". It matches the Rfam family "Bacterial small subunit ribosomal RNA", at positions 8 to 976 of the family's 1533-position model. The record is from RNAcentral.